UACGAAGGGGGCUAGCGUUGUUCGGAUUUACUGGGCGUAAAGCGCACGUAGGCGGACUUUUAAGUCAGGGGUGAAAUCCCGAGGCUCAACCUCGGAAUUGCCUUUGAUACUGGAAGUCUUGAGUUCGGAAGAGGUGAGUGGAAUUGUGAGUGUAGAGGUGAAAUUCGUAGAUAUUCACAAGAACACCGGUGGCGAAGGCGGCUCACUGGUCCGAUACUGACGCUGAGGUGCGAAAGCGUGGGGAGCAAACAGG
This 253-nucleotide ribosomal RNA is filed under the name uncultured bacterium. RNAcentral describes it as "partial 16S ribosomal RNA". It matches the Rfam family "Bacterial small subunit ribosomal RNA", at positions 524 to 776 of the family's 1533-position model. The record is from RNAcentral.